This 280-nucleotide ribosomal RNA is filed under the name uncultured bacterium. RNAcentral describes it as "partial 16S ribosomal RNA". It matches the Rfam family "Bacterial small subunit ribosomal RNA", at positions 524 to 792 of the family's 1533-position model. The record is from RNAcentral.
UACGGAGGGUGCAAGCGUUAAUCGGAAUUACUGGGCGUAAAGCGCGCGUAGGCGGUUUGCUAAGUCAGAUGUGAAAUCCCCCGGGCUCAACCUGGGAAUGGCAUUUGAGACUGGUAGGCUAGAAUGUGGUAGAGGUGAGUGGAAUUCCAGGUGUAGCGGUGAAAUGCGUGGAGAUCGUGAGGAACAUCAGUGGCGAAGGCGAACAUCACUGGGGCCAUUAUUGGCACGACUGACGGUGCGAAAAGCGUGGGUAGCAAAACAGGAUUAAGAUACCCCGGUA